UACGUAGGGCGCGAGCGUUGUCCGGAAUUAUUGGGCGUAAAGAGCUCGUAGGCGGCUUGUCGCGUCUGCUGUGAAAACGCGGGGCUUAACUCCGCGCGUGCAGUGGGUACGGGCAGGCUGGAGUGCGGUAAGGGUGGCUGGAAUUCCUGGCGUAGCGGUGGAAUGCGCAGAUAUCAGGAGGAACACCGACGGCGAAGGCAGGUCACUGGGCCGUUACUGACGCUGAGGAGCGAAAGCAUGGGGAGCGAAC
Molecule: ribosomal RNA, 250 nt
Filed under: uncultured prokaryote
Description: partial 16S ribosomal RNA
Rfam family: Bacterial small subunit ribosomal RNA
Source: RNAcentral